Molecule: ribosomal RNA, 253 nt
Filed under: uncultured bacterium
Lineage: Bacteria
Description: partial 16S ribosomal RNA
Rfam family: Bacterial small subunit ribosomal RNA
Source: RNAcentral
UACGAAGGGUGCAAACGUUGCUCGGAAUUAUUGGGCGUAAAGAGCUUGUAGGCGGUCUGUCGCGUCUGCUGUGAAAAUCCGGGGCUCAACCCCGGACUUGCAGUGGGUACGGGCAGACUAGAGUGUGGUAGGGGAGACUGGAAUUCCUGGUGUAGCGGUGAAAUGCGCAGAUAUCAGGAGGAACACCGAUGGCGAAGGCAGGUCUCUGGGCCACUACUGACGCUGAGAAGCGAAAGCAUGGGGAGCGAACAGG